Molecule: ribosomal RNA, 301 nt
Filed under: uncultured bacterium
Lineage: Bacteria
Description: partial 16S ribosomal RNA
Rfam family: Bacterial small subunit ribosomal RNA
Source: RNAcentral
CAGCCGCCACGGUAAUACGGAGGGGGCUAGCGUUGUUCGGAAUUACUGGGCGUAAAGCGCACGUAGGCGGCUUUGUAAGUUAGAGGUGAAAGCCCGGAGCUCAACUCCGGAAUUGCCUUUAAGACUGCAGAGCUAGCAGGUGAGAGAGGUGAGUGGAAUUCCGAGUGUAGAGGUGAAAUUCGUAGAUAUUCGGAAGAACACCAGUGGCGAAGGCGGCUCACUGGCUCAUACUGGACGCUGAGGUGCGAAAGCGUGGGGAGCAAACAGGAUUAGAUACCCCCGUAGUCCCUGUCUCUUAUAC